UCGGGCGGAUGGUGCAGAUUCGUCUGUUACUGUCUGCCCGGACGAUUUUGUUGGUUUGUUCGUGGUUCUCUUAACCGGGUGCCACGGGUGGCCGACACGUUUACUUUGAAAAAAUUGGAGUGCUCAAAGCAGCGCUACAGCCUGAACAUUCGUGCAUGGAAUAAUGGGAAUAGGAUUUUGAUUCUAUUUCGUUGGCUUUUGGAGUCAAAAUAAUGAUUAUAGAACAGACGGGGGCAUUCGUACUGCGACGUUAGAGGUGAAAUUCUUGGAUCGUCGCAAGACGAACUACUGCGAAAGCAUUUGCCCAAGAAUGUUUUCAUUAAUCAAGAACGAAGGUCAGAGGUUCGAAGGCGAUCAGAUACCGCCCUAGUUCUGACUGUCAACUAUGUCAAUUGGCGAUCCGUCGUCGUUACUUGAAUGACUCGGCGGGCAGCCUCCGGGAAACCUAAAUCUUUGGGUUCCGGGGGAAGUAUGGUUGCAAAGCUGAAACUUAAAGGAAUUGACGGAAGGGCACCACCAGGAGUGGAGCCUGCGGCUUAAUUUGACUCAACACGGGAAAACUCACCAGGCCCGGACACCGGAAGGAUUGACAGAUUGAAAGCUCUUUCUUGAUUCGGUGGGUGGUGGUGCAUGGCCGUUCUUAGUUGGUGGAGCGAUUUGUCUGGUUAAUUCCGAUAACGAACGAGACUCUGGCCUACUAAAUAGACAUUGGAUCAUUUAUGGUCCUUUGCAGCUUCUUAGAGGGACGGGCGG
Molecule: ribosomal RNA, 753 nt
Filed under: uncultured eukaryote
Lineage: Eukaryota
Description: bacterial SSU rRNA
Rfam family: Eukaryotic small subunit ribosomal RNA
Source: RNAcentral